UGUACCAUCUUGUCCUUCGAUAAUAGUGAGUGAGACGUCAUAACGGCCAGUUAACAAGAGUUUUGUCUCUUGAUUCUCGAUUAUUCUGAUUUAACAUUAUAUAACACAGGGGAAUGUAUGGACAGAGUGUGUAGACUAGACUGGACUGGAUUUAAUUAUUUGAGAAAGCUUUUGGGAAGAUGUUUUGAUUGCGUGGAUCACCGUUUAUAUACAGUUGGAGGCCAUCUAUUGCAUUUCACUACCGGAAGAUCGUCAGGGAGGAAAUUAUGCGAAUAGUUUAAUUUCUGAAAGAUGCAGUUACAGUAAGAACAUGACAAAUGAAAAGUAGUCGUGGAUAAACUACAGGGCUGAAGCUAGUUUUUAGACGUCAUUUUUCCAAACAUAUGACGGUUUGGAUGCAACGGAUCAUUGUUUACAAGGAAGCUGUCAAUGAAGUGCAUUCGAAAGUGAUCUGCAGAGUCUGUUAUCUCUAUGAUGUAUAAAUAGAAAAAAUACUGGAUGUGAAAGAACCUCCAAAUUAAGCUGCUCUGCGCCACCAGGGAUGACCACUGACCUGACAUUUAAGUAAAUGUAUUCUCCAGUGUACCUCCAUCCUGGCAGAUGAGAAACAUCAUCGUAAAAAUGGACGUUUUAAUUAUGAAGACAAGUCAAGAUUUACGGAAUACAGGACCUACAUAAAUACACAAGGUUCGUAACAUAUAAGAUUCAUUAUACACAAGGUUCGCUAUAUAAACAUACAAUGCUCUGGCGAGUACAUUCAUGAUGUGAGGUUUAUCAAUUUAAUUUUAAGUAAUAUUUCAGUUUAAGCUUGACUAUUUUCCUAUUACUCUCUUUUCACACACACUUUUCAUAUCAGAAUGUAAAUGAGAUAGCGAACGUUUAUUCAGAUUAAGGUAGACAGAAGUGCUAUUUAAGCAAGACUUUCGGAAGUUAGUUUUAAAGCGUGUCUGCCUAUUCCUGUUGUGCCGUGAUUAUUAGCGACUUGAGACAGCGGCAUUGAAUGUUUCUAGCCAUUUAGCUUUAUCUCGCCGGUUAUUACGAACCAGAGUUUUUCCUGUGCGGUAAAGUAUUCUAUGAGCCGUUAGGCUAAUCUACCAUAUCUUGAAAUUGUUAUAUGUUUCGUAUUUAUGUUGAGCGAAAAGUGCUUGGUUUAUGUAAACCAAAGUUGGUCAUUUGUUGUGUUCGAAUAAAAGAGUCUUAUACACCCUCCUUCUGAUUUCUGUUUUGUCUCACAAGACUAGAAGAUAAUUCUUCAAUAACCCUUUUAAAAUUUAUAGUUUAUGUUCCCAAAGAGACAGAUACUUUACAGUUGUAUAAAAUAAAACAUUCAUUGCUUGUUUUCAUACAUUAUUUACAUGAGCUUUAAUGAUUUCAGUGAAUCCAAUAAUCCUGAUUAUCAUUAUGUACAUGAUGGAAUUGAGUUCAAGCAGAAUUGCGAAGCAUUAUACAGUUCUUCGCACUUUUACCUGAACUCAAUCCCACCAUGAAUGGCAACUUUCACAGGUGGUCUAGCAUUGCCUAUGUGGAUGCCAUGUCAUCUGUUUGGCCUUUUCCAUUGAAGCGCUAAGUUAACACGGUUCUUGUUUCACAGUUGAUAAACUUGCAAGUGGUUUGACGGAUCGGACUGAUCAAACAUCUGUCAUCAAAUCGGGCUGAGAAUGUAGGGUAUUUCUCAGAUUACAUUUUUUGCCACAGAACCUGUCAGUCCAUUUCUGAGUUGUUCUUUUAGCAACGGUAUGCUCUUCAUACAGCACAAAUUCGUCUGGAAACCUUUGUUGUACUGAUACAUUCGUUGAACAACAUCGUCGUAUAGCAACA
Long non-coding RNA from Stegodyphus dumicola, 1818 nucleotides. RefSeq lists it as uncharacterized. The record is from RefSeq and is a predicted model, not a curated record. Lineage: Eukaryota; Metazoa; Arthropoda; Arachnida; Araneae; Eresidae.